This 312-nucleotide long non-coding RNA is filed under the name Salvia miltiorrhiza (redroot sage). RNAcentral describes it as "long non-coding RNA (SMIL_LNC003620)". Lineage: Eukaryota; Viridiplantae; Streptophyta; Magnoliopsida; Lamiales; Lamiaceae. The record is from RNAcentral.
UCCCACGUUGGCAGACAGGUCCAGCCUGGCUUACUUAUUUAUAAGCUGACACUUUCCCAUGUUGACAAACGGGUCCAGUGUGGCUCACAUAUUUACAGGCUGAUGUUUAAAUCUAAAUUGGUCCACACCAUCUACCUUCACGAUAAUCUCCAGGCUGGCAAGACAAUUCAUAUAUAUAUAUGCAUAUGUGUGCUAAGCGCAAUGCCCAAAAAAAAAAAAAAUCAGAAAGGGAGUGGGAGAAAAUCUCAACUUGUGGAAAUAAAAUUCCUACAACCUGUUAUUUCUCUUUGGAACAACUCCAAGCUGGUAAAA